This 253-nucleotide ribosomal RNA is filed under the name uncultured bacterium. RNAcentral's name for it is "partial 16S ribosomal RNA". It matches the Rfam family "Bacterial small subunit ribosomal RNA", at positions 524 to 776 of the family's 1533-position model. The record is from RNAcentral.
UACAGAGGUCCCAAGCGUUGUUCGGAUUCACUGGGCGUAAAGCGCACGUAGGCGGAUGUGCCAGUCAGGGGUGAAAUCCCGGAGCUCAACUUCGGAACUGCCUCUGAUACAGCACGUCUUGAGUCCGGAAGAGGUGGGUGGAAUUCCUAGUGUAGAGGUGAAAUUCGUAGAUAUUAGGAAGAACACCGGUGGCGAAGGCGGCCCACUGGUCCGGUACUGACGCUGAGGUGCGAAAGCGUGGGGAGCAAACAGG